AAUCUUGUUGCAGGUCUAAAGACCACCCCUUCAGUGUCAAUCAAAUUUCAUGAAAGAGAGCAUAAGGAUACUCUGCUGAAUAAGAACCAAUAGAUUCUCUUUUGCCCACUUAUGGCAACUUCCGCUGAACAAAACUAUAACCUUUAAACACAAAACUAUGAUGCCUCAUUUUUACCAAUGAAGGGCAGCGGAUGACAUCAUGGAAAGAGUCUGCAUUGCUCUGAUUAUGAUAAAUUUGUCUUACAGUCAAGUCAGCGAGACAUUCACUGAAGCAACUUCAUCAAGGGUGGUCCAGCUUGGGGACACCGUUACACUGCACUGUGAUGUGAAACACGAUAAGGAAACCAUGUGGCACGGACAACGCCACGGCAAAGUUCCAUUUAUCAUCAUUGCAGCCAAAGACAAAGAUGGAAAACCAGGCCAGACUGAGACCAAAUAUUUCAGAGGCUAUGACCCUCGAUUCAGAACUUUUCCAUUUCCAGCCAAUAACUCGGUCUACCUGAAGAUCGCAAACCUCACCAUACCUGACCUGGGACUCUACUACUGCAGCACGAAGCCUGAUGUACCGAUGCUCACUGGACUUGGCACCAUGCUUGUUCUUGCAGAGAACUGCAACUUCCCCGCCACAACGGUAUCCAAUGGUUCAGCCAUACCAACAAUUGCUCCUGAGGUCGAGCCCGGGGUUCGAGUGCACUGCUGGAUCCUGAUGGCCAUUUUGAUCCCAGUGUGCAUCGUGGUGGGCGCCCUGCUCUACAGAGCCUGCCUCCACUGGAAGCACUGCAGAACGGGGUCAGAAUGUUGUGAGGCACAGAACACAUCCAUGGAUGGAAAUACAGAUGGAAAAGAGGAGGAAGUUGACCCAGAGGUGAUUUAUACAGCAUUAAAAAUCCCAUCCGGAAAAUCAACCCAAACAAGGCGAACGCUGGACACUGAAUAAUGCUGAUAACUGUGGAAAUAAAACUACUAAGGAGUUCUAA
Long non-coding RNA from Anguilla rostrata (American eel), 977 nucleotides. RefSeq lists it as uncharacterized. NCBI's taxonomy places the organism in Eukaryota, Metazoa, Chordata, Actinopteri, Anguilliformes, Anguillidae. The transcript is spliced from 5 exons. The record is from RefSeq and is a predicted model, not a curated record.